GGAGGCGGUCCCUGGUAGUGGAGGGCGUCGCGAUGGGCGGGGCGGAGCGUCUGUGGUCUUCCUGGAACCCUGCAUCUCGGGCAGUUUUGCAGAACACUGAUAUCUAUGGACCCUAGCAUGGACUUCAUUUAAAGAAAUCCACGGACCAUUAAUGGACAAAAACAUGAAUCAGUUUAUGUUGUGGCAUUCAAAUCCUAGCACUUUGGGAAAGCAUCAAGUACAAGUUUUUGAAGACCCUGGGGCCUACCAUCAUUAUGCAUUCAAGAUUUGAGUUUGAAUAACUUCAUCAAGACUUAGAUCCUCUUCAAAAGCCUCAAGUCUCAUCUGCAUUAAAGCUCUCCAUUGAACCCUCUCACAAAAGUAAAAGCUUACAGGGACUAAAAUCGACUAAUACAUUCCAUUUUAUAUCCUUUCCUCUGAUUUCUCUUCAAUUUCUUUGGCCUUUAGAGUCUUUCAUAUUGCUUAUGUUUCUUUAGAUUGGAGCCAAGGAAACAGUGCCUUCCAAAAGAAUAGAUGUCCUGUGGCCCUAAAUUUUCAUUGGUAGAGAAGCAUAAACUUGGUAUAAGUUUACAAUCAGGUCUUUUGUUGUAUCCUACAAAAACUUGA
Odobenus rosmarus divergens (Pacific walrus) is the source of this 606-nucleotide RNA transcript. RefSeq lists it as uncharacterized. The record is from RefSeq and is a predicted model, not a curated record. NCBI's taxonomy places the organism in Eukaryota, Metazoa, Chordata, Mammalia, Carnivora, Odobenidae. The transcript is spliced from 3 exons.